AGUGAACGCUGGCGGUAGGCCUAACACAUGCAAGUCGAACGGCAGCACAGUAAGAGCUUGCUCUUACGGGUGGCGAGUGGCGGACGGGUGAGGAAUACAUCGGAAUCUACUUUUUCGUGGGGGAUAACGUAGGGAAACUUACGCUAAUACCGCAUACGACCUACGGGUGAAAGCAGGGGAUCUUCGGACCUUGCGCGAUUGAAUGAGCCGAUGUCGGAUUAGCUAGUUGGCGGGGUAAAGGCCCACCAAGGCGACGAUCCGUAGCUGGUCUGAGAGGAUGAUCAGCCACACUGGAACUGAGACACGGUCCAGACUCCUACGGGAGGCAGCAGUGGGGAAUAUUGGACAAUGGGCGCAAGCCUGAUCCAGCCAUACCGCGUGGGUGAAGAAGGCCUUCGGGUUGUAAAGCCCUUUUGUUGGGAAAGAAAAGCAGCAGGUUAAUACCCCGCUGUUCUGACGGUACCCAAAGAAUAAGCACCGGGUAACUUCGU
Molecule: ribosomal RNA, 491 nt
Filed under: uncultured bacterium
Lineage: Bacteria
Description: partial 16S ribosomal RNA
Rfam family: Bacterial small subunit ribosomal RNA
Source: RNAcentral